RNAcentral lists this ribosomal RNA (547 nucleotides) under Escherichia coli 2-474-04_S1_C2. RNAcentral's name for it is "bacterial LSU rRNA". It matches the Rfam family "Bacterial large subunit ribosomal RNA", at positions 512 to 1059 of the family's 2925-position model. Lineage: Bacteria; Pseudomonadati; Pseudomonadota; Gammaproteobacteria; Enterobacterales; Enterobacteriaceae. The record is from RNAcentral.
AGGCGAAAAGAACCCCGGCGAGGGGAGUGAAAAAGAACCUGAAACCGUGUACGUACAAGCAGUGGGAGCACGCUUAGGCGUGUGACUGCGUACCUUUUGUAUAAUGGGUCAGCGACUUAUAUUCUGUAGCAAGGUUAACCGAAUAGGGGAGCCGAAGGGAAACCGAGUCUUAACUGGGCGUUAAGUUGCAGGGUAUAGACCCGAAACCCGGUGAUCUAGCCAUGGGCAGGUUGAAGGUUGGGUAACACUAACUGGAGGACCGAACCGACUAAUGUUGAAAAAUUAGCGGAUGACUUGUGGCUGGGGGUGAAAGGCCAAUCAAACCGGGAGAUAGCUGGUUCUCCCCGAAAGCUAUUUAGGUAGCGCCUCGUGAAUUCAUCUCCGGGGGUAGAGCACUGUUUCGGCAAGGGGGUCAUCCCGACUUACCAACCCGAUGCAAACUGCGAAUACCGGAGAAUGUUAUCACGGGAGACACACGGCGGGUGCUAACGUCCGUCGUGAAGAGGGAAACAACCCAGACCGCCAGCUAAGGUCCCAAAGUCAUGGU